This 450-nucleotide ribosomal RNA is filed under the name uncultured bacterium. RNAcentral's name for it is "partial 16S ribosomal RNA". It matches the Rfam family "Bacterial small subunit ribosomal RNA", at positions 354 to 796 of the family's 1533-position model. The record is from RNAcentral.
GUCGAGAAUAAUUCACAAUGGGGGAAACCCUGAUGGUGCAACGCCGCGUGGAGGAUGAAGGUCUUCGGAUUGUAAACUCCUGUCAUCUGGGAGUAAGACCUGACGGUGAAUAGCCGGCAGGGUUGAUAGUACCAGAAGAGGAAGGGACGGCUAACUUCGUGCCAGCAGCCGCGGUAAUACGAAGGUCCCAAGCGUUGUUCGGAAUCACUGGGCGUAAAGGGAGCGUAGGCGGCGUGGUAAGUCAGAUGUGAAAUCCCGGGGCUCAACCCCGGAACUGCAUCCGAUACUGCCAUGCUUGAGGGUUGGAGAGGUAACUGGAAUUCUCGGUGUAGCAGUGAAAUGCGUGGAUAUCGAGAGGAACACUCGUGGCGAAGGCGAGUUACUGGACAGCAUCUGACGCUGAGGCACGAAGGCCAGGGGAGCGAAAGGGAUUAGAAACCCCUGUAGUCC